This 398-nucleotide ribosomal RNA is filed under the name uncultured bacterium. RNAcentral's name for it is "partial 16S ribosomal RNA". It matches the Rfam family "Bacterial small subunit ribosomal RNA", at positions 360 to 773 of the family's 1533-position model. The record is from RNAcentral.
AAUCUUGCGCAAUGGGCGAAAGCCUGACGCAGCGACGCCGCGUGAGUGAAGAAGGCCUUCGGGUUGUAAAACUCUGUCCUCAGGGAAGAAGCAAGUGACGGUACCUGAGGAGGAAGCCCCGGCUAACUACGUGCCAGCCGCCGCGGUAAUACGUAGGGGGCGAGCGUUGUCCGGAAUCAUUGGGCGUAAAGGGUGCGUAGGCGGCCUUUUAAGUCAGAUGUGAAAGAUCACGGCUCAACCGUGGUAAGCAUUUGAAACUGGAAGGCUUGAGUUAAGGAGAGGAAAGUGGAAUUCCUAGUGUAGCGGUGAAAUGCGUAGAUAUUAGGAGGAAUACCAGUGGCGAAGGCGACCAUCUGGGCUAAUACUGACACUGAGGUGCGAAAGCGUGGGGAGCAAAC